RNAcentral lists this transfer RNA (75 nucleotides) under Firmicutes bacterium ADurb.Bin373. Its description in RNAcentral is "tRNA-Arg". It matches the Rfam family "tRNA". From Rfam's summary of the family: Transfer RNA (tRNA) molecules are approximately 80 nucleotides in length. Their secondary structure includes four short double-helical elements and three loops (D, anti-codon, and T loops). Further hydrogen bonds mediate the characteristic L-shaped molecular structure. tRNAs have two regions of fundamental functional importance: the anti-codon, which is responsible for specific mRNA codon recognition, and the 3' end, to which the tRNAs corresponding amino acid is attached (by aminoacyl-tRNA synthetases). tRNAs cope with the degeneracy of the genetic code in two manners: having more than one tRNA (with a specific anti-codon) for a particular amino acid; and 'wobble' base-pairing, i.e. permitting non-standard base-pairing at the 3rd anti-codon position. Lineage: Bacteria; Bacillati; Bacillota. The record is from RNAcentral.
GCGCUCGUAGCUCAGCCAGGAUAGAGCGGCGGUUUCCUAAACCGCAGGUCGCAGGUUCGAGUCCCGCCGGGCGCA